UCCCGUUGAUCCUGCGGGAGGUUGCUGCUAUAGGGGUUCGACUUAACCAUGCAAGUCUGGGGGCCUUCGGGUCACCGGCGAAAUGCUCAGUAACACGUCGUUAAUCUGCCCUUAGGUCUGGGAUAACCAUGGGAAACUGUGGCUAAAACCGGAUAGGGGAAUAUGGCUGGAAUGCCUUUUCCUUCAAAAGUAAUGCCUAAGGAUGAGACGGCGGCUGAUUAGGCAGUUGGUGGGGUAAUGGCCCACCAAACCUACGAUCAGUCGGGGCCUUGAGAGAGGUAGCCCCGAGAAGGGUACUUAGACACUGACCCUAGCCCUACGGGGUGCAGCAGGUGCGGAACCUUUACAAUGCACGAAAGUGUGAUAAGGGAACCCUUAGUGCUUAUGUAUUGCAUAGGCUUUUUCUGAGAGUAAAUAUCUUAGAGAAUAAGUGGUGGGUAAGACUGGUGCCAGCAGCCGCGGUAACACCAGCGCCACGAGUGGCAGCCAUGAUUAUUGGGCCUAAAGCGUCCGUAGCCGGUCUCGUAAAUUCUGUGUGAAAUCGUUGGGCUUCACCCAACGGCGUGCAUAGAAGACUGCAAGACUUGAGACCAGGAGGAGUCAGAGGUAUUCCGGGGGGAGCGGUAAAAUGCUAUAAUCCUCGGAAGACCACCUGUGGCGAAGGCGUCUGACUAGAAUGGUUCUGACGGUGAGGGACGAAAGCUAGGGGAGCAAACCGGAUUAGAUACCCGAGUAGUCCUAGCUGUAAACGCUGCGAGCUAGGUGUUGUAUAUUCUCCGAGAAUAUGCAGUAUCGAAGCGAAGGCGAUAAGCUCGCCGCCUGGGAAGUACGGUCGCGAGACUGAAACUUAAAGGAAUUGGCGGGGGAGCACCACAAGGGGUGCGGCGUGCGGUUUAAUUUAACUCAACACAGAGAAUCUCACUAGAGGCGACGGCAGUAUGAAAGUCAGUCUAAAGGGCUUACUUGACGAGCCGAGAGGUAGUGCAUGGCCGCCGUCAGCUCGUGCUGUGAGGUGUCCAGUUAAGUCUGGCAACGAGCGAGACCCACACCUACAAUUGCUAGCUGAUCAGAAAUGAUGCCAGAGCACAUUGUGGGGACUGCCCGGGAAACUGGGAGGAAGGCGUGGGCCACGGUAGGUCUGUAUGCUCCGAAUCUUCUAGGCUACACGCGCGCAACAAUGGUUGGGACAAUGGGAUACAACUCCGUAAGGAGAAGUCAAACCUCUAAACCCAAUCUUAGUCCAGAUUGAGGGCUGUAACUCACCCUCAUGACGAUGGAAUCCCUAGUAAUCGGAUAUUAUCAGUGUCCGGUGAAUAUGUCCCUGCUCCUUGCACACACCGCCCGUCAAACCAUCCGAGCAGGGUUUAGAUGAGAAUUGGUUUUUUGACCAACGCGAAUCUAAGCUCAGUAAGGCGGGUUAAGUCGUCACGAGGUA
This 1435-nucleotide ribosomal RNA is filed under the name metagenome. RNAcentral's name for it is "bacterial SSU rRNA". It matches the Rfam family "Archaeal small subunit ribosomal RNA". The record is from RNAcentral.